Molecule: ribosomal RNA, 370 nt
Filed under: uncultured organism
Description: bacterial SSU rRNA
Rfam family: Bacterial small subunit ribosomal RNA
Source: RNAcentral
CGAAGGGGCGUAGCGUUGUUCGGAAUUACUGGGCGUAAGGGCGCGUAGGCGGCCGUUAAGUUAGGUGUGAAAGUCCUGGGCUCAACCUGGGGACGUGCACUUAAUACUGGAUGGCUUGAAUUCGGGAGAGGAUAGCGGAAUUCCCAGUGUAGAGGUGAAAUUCGUAGAUAUUGGGAAGAACACCGGUGGCGAAGGCGGCUAUCUGGACCGACAUUGACGCUGAGGCGCGAAAGCGUGGGGAGCAAACAGGAUUAGAUACCCUGGUAGUCCACGCCGUAAACGAUGAGUGCUAGACGUUGGGAAGCUUAGCUUUUCAGUGUCGCAGCUAACGCAUUAAGCACUCCGCCUGGGGAGUACGGUCGCAAGAUUA